AGUUCUGCUAGGUCUACUAACUCCACACUACGAAAAAGUUGAAUUCAAAAAAAUAAGGGAAAGAACAGUGUGAUAAAAAGUGAUAGCAGGACCCUUACAAAGACCUGCACAACGCAUUUUUUGUGAUCAUCAACAAGCAGGACGUGCAAGCAGUGGAAUCAUUCUCUGGGCAGGAAAAAAUAUCAAGAUGGCAAUAGAGGCUGGGGGAACACAGCAAGCCCGGCAGCGACAGGAGGUGGAGAAGUCAACGUUUUGGGAGUAACCCUUCUUCAGGACCCAGCAUCUGCAGGUUUUUUAAAUCUCUAAGAUGGUGAUGGAAGCAAAUAAUGUGGAUGUCGUCUGUGGAAGCUUGAAUUCCGGAGAAAUCUGCAAUUUGUUUUCUACUUCACUCAGUCCUUUUAUAAAUCAGAUGCAAGCAUUCAUCGUGGAAUAUAGUACGAUGCUUGUUGGCCAUUUGGAUUUAGCAACGCACAACAAACACUGAGCUGUCACCAAAAUUAGCAGUGCUGCCUGUUUUGUGAAAGCUAGUUGUCUGUGAUGUUGACAAACACAAGCAGUGAGGGUCCAGUUAUGGUUGCAGCUGGUAAGAGUUCUGACAACUUCCUUGAAGUGCAGCCAUCUUUUUUUUUGAGUGAAGUUGAAUUGAGUCCUGAUCUGAAGAUCUACCAUGGAUGUGUCCUCCUGCACAAUAUUGUCUGAUUCUGAGCUGCUUCUCCUUUCUCAUUCUUCAUUACUUCCCAAUUGCCCUGCCAGAUCAUCCACAAUCUCAAUUGAAUCGUUGAAAAAAAUCUUCCAGAGCCAGCACAAAGAUGUGAAGACAGGUCUGAAUGUACAUGUUAAACAAUAAAAGUAGCUGGAGGACAAAGGCCAAAAAGUCAACCAGCAAUCUAAGACAACAUGCCACCAAUAACUAACUCAUUUGAGUGGAUGCACUGUUUGAGUAGAGCUCCCAAAGUCUCCUGUUGCCUGUUCAUGUCAAUAAAAUGUUGUUUUUGGAGGUGCCAGGAUGUACAAAAUUAAAAAUCACACAACACCAGGUUAUAGUCCAAUAGGUUUAUUUGGAAACAUUAGCUUUUGAAGCACUGCUCCUUCAU
Hemiscyllium ocellatum (epaulette shark) is the source of this 1094-nucleotide long non-coding RNA. RefSeq lists it as uncharacterized. The transcript is spliced from 3 exons. The record is from RefSeq and is a predicted model, not a curated record. Lineage: Eukaryota; Metazoa; Chordata; Chondrichthyes; Orectolobiformes; Hemiscylliidae.